Molecule: non-coding RNA, 169 nt
Organism: Podarcis lilfordi (Lilford's wall lizard)
Lineage: Eukaryota; Metazoa; Chordata; Lepidosauria; Squamata; Lacertidae
Source: the annotation of a GenBank genome assembly
CUGCUCGACCCAAAGAGCAGGUUGGGGAGCAGUGGAAAGGCUGCGUGCAGCCUUUCCACUGCUUGUCGGGGCUGGCGGUGGGGGAAGUGCGGCUUUUCCCCACUGCCAGCCCCACAAGCUCGGGGAGCAGCCUUUCCGCUGCUCCCCGACCUGCUCUUUGGGGAAAGCC